GAUGAACGCUGGCGGCGUGCCUAAUACAUGCAAGUCGAGCGAACGGACGAGAAGCUUGCUUUUCUGAUGUUAGCGGCGGACGGGUGAGUAACACGUGGAUAACCUACCUAUAAGACUGGGAUAACUUCGGGAAACCGGAGCUAAUACCGGAUAAUAUUUUGAACCGCAUGGUUCAAAAGUGAAAGACGGUCUUGCUGUCACUUAUAGAUGGAUCCGCGCUGCAUUAGCUAGUUGGUAAGGUAACGGCUUACCAAGGCAACGAUGCAUAGCCGACCUGAGAGGGUGAUCGGCCACACUGGAACUGAGACACGGUCCAGACUCCUACGGGAGGCAGCAGUAGGGAAUCUUCCGCAAUGGGCGAAAGCCUGACGGAGCAACGCCGCGUGAGUGAUGAAGGUCUUCGGAUCGUAAAACUCUGUUAUUAGGGAAGAACAUAUGUGUAAGUAACUGUGCACAUCUUGACGGUACCUAAUCAGAAAGCCACGGCUAACUUCGUG
This 497-nucleotide ribosomal RNA is filed under the name uncultured bacterium. RNAcentral describes it as "partial 16S ribosomal RNA". It matches the Rfam family "Bacterial small subunit ribosomal RNA", at positions 28 to 507 of the family's 1533-position model. The record is from RNAcentral.